GGGUCAGUAGGUUGGUAGUGCCACCGGUACGUACUGGUCUCACUGAUUCCUCCUUCCUGAAGAACCGUAAUGCCAUUAAUUUGGUGUUGCGGGGAAACAGGACUGUUACUUUGAAAAAAUUAGAGUGUUUAAAGCAAGCUAACGCUUGAAUACAUUAGCAUGGAAUAAUGAAAUAGGACGAUCGAUCCUGUUUUGUUGGUUUCUAGGAUUGACGUA
This 216-nucleotide ribosomal RNA is filed under the name Glomeromycotina sp. Its description in RNAcentral is "partial small subunit ribosomal RNA". The stretch from base 40 to 216 matches the Rfam family "Eukaryotic small subunit ribosomal RNA", at positions 686 to 864 of the family's 1831-position model. The record is from RNAcentral. Lineage: Eukaryota; Fungi; Glomeromycota.